AAUCAAACCAACCUGCAAAAGAGUAAAUUUAGAAGACGUUUAAAAGAAAAGAACGGCAAAGAACGUCAAAGAAAACAAAGUCAACCAAACAAACAUAUGAAAUUAAAACAAGAACAGCAAAGAAAAGGGAAAAGAUGGAGGCGUUGACGAAACCAUGGAGGCCUCGUCGUAGGUCAUGGCGGAGUUGAGCGGUGCGCCGGUUGGGCGCUCAAACUCCAUUGCUGCAACGGAACUGAACAAACGCACGCUGAGAAGAAAUCCGACGAAUGAAAUUGCGAAAUAGAAAAAGAGAAAAUGCAGCCAAAAUGCCAUUGGUGAAGUCAACCAAACAAACACAGACCUGAAAUUAAAACAAAACGGCAAAGAAAAGAGAAAAAUAAGAGAUUACAGAGAGAAAACUUGGAAGGCGUUUACGAAGCUCUUGUUGCGCUCCAUGGAGGCGUUGAGCGGUGCAGCGGUUCUCAAACUCCAUUGCUGCAACGGAACCGUAUGCUGAGAAGAAACGCGACCAAUGAAAUUGCAUGAACGGUGCUCUGAUUAGUGCAUAAUGAAUACCCAAUUCGGAACUGAAGACCGAGAAAGGAAAACUCGAAGAGAUCGAGGAAAAGAGCUAGGUGGUGGUUACAAAUAAUAGGACCCGAUUGAGACAAAAAAAAUACGAUGACCAAAUUGAGAUUGGCACAC
RNAcentral lists this long non-coding RNA (684 nucleotides) under Vigna radiata. Its description in RNAcentral is "long non-coding RNA (VRAD_LNC010785)". The record is from RNAcentral. Lineage: Eukaryota; Viridiplantae; Streptophyta; Magnoliopsida; Fabales; Fabaceae.